UGGGGAAUCUUCCGCAAUGGACGAAAGUCUGACGGAGCAACGCCGCGUGAGUGAAGAAGGUCUUCGGAUUGUAAAGCUCUGUCGUUUGGGACGAACGUAUUCUAUGUGAAUAAUGUAGAGUAAUGACGGUACCAAAGGAGGAAGCCACGGCUAACUACGUGCCAGCAGCCGCGGUAAUACGUAGGUGGCAAGCGUUGUCCGGAAUUAUUGGGCGUAAAGGGCGUGUAGGUGGAUUUUUAAGUCGUGUGUCUAAGUGCGGGGCUCAACCCCGUAUAGGCGCAGGAAACUGGAGAUCUUGAGUGCAGGAGAGGAAAGUGGAAUUCCCAGUGUAGCGGUGAAAUGCGUAGAUAUUGGGAGGAACACCAGUGGCGAAGGCGACUUUCUGGACUGUGUCUGACACUGAGGCGCGAAAGCCAGGGGAGCGAACG
This 428-nucleotide ribosomal RNA is filed under the name uncultured Sporomusa sp. Its description in RNAcentral is "bacterial SSU rRNA". It matches the Rfam family "Bacterial small subunit ribosomal RNA", at positions 355 to 774 of the family's 1533-position model. Lineage: Bacteria; Bacillati; Bacillota; Negativicutes; Selenomonadales; Sporomusaceae. The record is from RNAcentral.